This is a long non-coding RNA of Monodelphis domestica (gray short-tailed opossum), 7871 nucleotides long. RefSeq lists it as uncharacterized. Lineage: Eukaryota; Metazoa; Chordata; Mammalia; Didelphimorphia; Didelphidae. The record is from RefSeq and is a predicted model, not a curated record.
UUAACUUUUAUCUUCCAUCUUAGAAGCAGUACAGUGUAUUAGUUCCAAGGCAGAAGAGUUAUAAGGGUUAGGCAAUAGGGGUUAAGUGACUUGUUCAGGGUCACACAGUUAAGAAGAGUCCGAGGUCGAAUUUGAAUCCAGGACCUUCUGUCCCUAGAUCUGACUCUCAAUUCACUGAGUGACCCAGACACCCCCUUACUGCUGAGUUCUUAUUAGGCUUUUACAAAAUGGGCUAAGAUUUUUAGAAGAUGAUUAUGUAUCAAAAGUCAUCUUUAUGGUGGCCACAGUAUUAAUCUAAACAUAACAGAUUUCAUUUGUGCAGUUGUAUUAGUGACCAGACCCUGAAAAUCUGUAUGGAUGCCUAUUAUUGAUCCAAUAAUAGUUUUUAAACAAUAAUAAUAAUAACUAGUAUUUGUGUAGUGUUUUCAGAUGAUCAAAGUACUUUAAUAUUAUCUCAUUUAAUAUUUAAUAUUAUCUCAAUGUUAUCUCAUUUAGGAGGUAGGUUUUAGAUGGUGACUGGGGCAGGCAGAGGUUAAAUGACUUGCCAGGAUCACCCUGCUAUCGAGUGUCCUCACAUACUAGGAAGGAACUCUUAGAGUAGGAGAGAGUUCUUAGAGGGGAAAUCCAUGAGUGUAAAAAGUCCUGGACCAAGCUUUAUGGAGAGAAUAGAAGUUUCUAGACUAGAUCAAGAAGAAACCAAACCAUUCCUUAGAAUGAUGAAAGCCUGAGGAACCAGACAGGUGGACAUGGGCUUCAUUAGUAAUCCAGGUCAAGUUCUGACAUUUCCAGUAGAAAUCCUGGCUGAGGCAUAAGCCAAAGAGCGAUUUGUGGGUUGUUUGCUGAUGAUGUCACCAAGACUGAACCCCAUUGCUUGUGUUCUAGGCCAUGAUUAUUAUUAUUAUUAUUUUAAGCCCUAUUUUCUAUCUUAGUAAUAUCUCUAAGACAGAAGGGGGGAAGGGCUAAGUAAUUGGGGUUAAGUGACUUACCCAGGGUCAUAUAGCUAGGAAGAUUUGGAGGGCAGAUUUGAACCCAGCUCCUCUCUAUCCACUGAGCUGCCUAGCUCCCUCACCUUUUAUAAAAUCAGCAAUAAUUAUUAUUAUGACACUAUAUUUGAAUAUGGCUUUAUCCUUUCUAAUACACAUUCCAAUUAAUUAUUUCAAUGGUCUCCCUAAUUCUUUCUUUCCCUCUUCAGAUUAUUUUAGAUUUCUUUGCCUGUUUGCAUGAUCUAAUUUAAGAGAACCCAAAUUCCUUGAGGGCAGGGUGAGUAUCAUUCUUUUGCCUUGGAAAUGAUACUUAAUAUAGAUUCUAAGACAGAAGGUAAGAGUUUAAAAUAUAUAGCAGGUCAUAGGUCCCACUAUUUGGCACAUAAAGACUAUCUAGUAUAAUCCUUUCAUAUUAUAAACAAGUAAACUGAGGACCCCUAACCUUAGUUGACUUGUCUGAUUUCAUAUUUUGUACUUCAGUUAUUUUUCAGUCCUGUCUGACUCUUCAUGACCAAAUUUAGGGUUUUCUUGGCAAAGACCCUGGAGUAGUUCACCCUUUCCUUCUCCAGCUCAUUUGACAAAUGAGGAAACUGAGGCAAACAGGGUUAAGUGACAUGCCCAUUUGGCAUUUUCUUGGCAGAGAUACUGGAACGGUGUGCCAUUUUCUUCUCCAGCUCAUUUGGCAGAUGAGGGAACUGAGGCAAACAGCGUUAAGUGACUUGCCUGCUUGGAGUUUUCUUGGCAAAGAUGCUGGAGUGGUUUGCUAUUUCCUUCUGCAGCUCAUUUGACAGAUAAGGAAACUGAGGCAAACAGGUCAAGUGACUUGUCCAUUGUCCAUUUGGCAUUUUCUUGGCAGAGAUACUGGAAUGGUGUGCCAUUUUCUUCUCCAGCUCAUUUGGCAGAUGAGGAAACUGAGGCAAACAAGAUUAAGUGACUUGUCCAUUUGGCUUUUUCUUGGCAGAGAUACUGGAAUGGUGUGUCAUUUUCUUCUCCAGCUCAUUUUGCAGAUAAGGAAACCAAGGCAAACAGCUCCAGCAACUUCGACGUGUCUCGGCACAGUACAAAUGGUCCAUCGUUCUGACAGGCUGGCAGUUCAUCACUCAGAUGAAAGACAGUCAUCUCCCCCCUUAGGACUCCCUUCUAUCCCUGUUCAUCAGCAGGGCUAUGACAGAUCCCCUAGACAUGAAAAGGCAUUCACUCAGGGAUGGAAGAAUGAUGGGGAGAUGCAGGAACCAGAAGUCUUGGCAGCUUCCCUGCAAGAGAAGACAGAUUUAUAAUCUUCUUCAUUUCUGUGACAUUCUGAAGUUUGCAAAAUGCUUCCUCUUAACAUGCCCCUCUUCCAUGGACUCCUUCCUUGGAACGAAGAAAUCCAGGUCAAUAGGAAAAAUAGAUGACCAUAGAAAUUGACCAUUGGGACAGCCCACCACCUCAUCUCCAGUUAAGUCGACCAUUCCACUGAUGCCAAAUGAUGCCAAAUGAUGCCUUCCUAGUGCAGGCAGAGGAGCAAGUCAGGAAACUUUAAUGCAACAAACAAACAAAUUUUUUUUAAUAAAAGAGGGGAUCUGCUUAUUCUCAAACCCUUUGGUUCAUUAUAUUCCCAUUCUGGAACCCCAGGGAAGAUCUCUUAAAGUUUAGCUUUCACUGCUUUCUGGAGUCUCCCCCAAAAUGCAUGAACAAAGUCUCUUCUAGAAAGGUACUUACUGCACAAGGUGAAUCCAGUAUGGGGUAGCUAUUUAUUUUUCCUAUAUGAGAAAUGGAAGCAUUGCCCCACACUCAGGGUAUAUAGCAGCCGCUAAUGAUGUUCAAGAAGACAUCAAAUCUGACUUUUAUGCCUCCUGGGUACCUCUGCCCCUGGAGUCCUUCCCUUCCACUGACUGGAGAGGGUGGAGGGUAGACAUCAGAGAGCUUUGCCCAGACCCUUCAUUUAAGGAAGGCUUCCAGGGAAGUGAUCAAGUGAUCCUGUUAUUUUCCGGUCAGCUCAAGGACAGCAUCAGCCUCCCAAAUCAUCUACUUUUUAGCUUUUGUGUGUAUGUGUUGUUUCCACACAACACUGCCCCCCCCCCCAAUUAGAUUAUGAACUUCUUGAGAGUAGAUACUGUUUUUUUUGUCUUUUCUUCCCCAAGCAUGUGCCAUAAUGCCCAGCACAUAGUAGGCACUCAAUAAAUAUUUAUUGACUGACUAUAAAUCUUAGGUCAUAGUUGAUACUUAAAAUAUCAAAACAGAAAACAUUUUAUGAGACUUUUGAGAAAGCAUUUAACCUUCUACUCCACUCUGAUCUCUACGGAACAACUCAUUCAAGGACUAUAUCUUCUGGUAAGCCAGGGCAUGGCUUGAAUUCAUCCUCCAGGCAUUGGCCACUUUCUCCAAGAAGUUGUUUCAGAAAUCACCUUCUGCUGGCACACCAACUUCUUGUUCUAAGACUAUUAAAUCUGUAGGGUGCUGUCUACUCUCCUGUGCUAAUUUCUAGGCAUCCUCCCUCUUUGCUUUAGGUCCUCAUCUAUAAAAUGACCUGGAUAAGGAAAUGGCCAACCACUUCAGUAUCUUAGCUGUUUGACCCUGUUGGCCUCAGUUUCCUCAUUUGUCAAAUGAGUUGGAGAAGGAAAUGGCCAACCACUUCAGUAUCUUACCUGUGUGACCCUGUUGGCCUCAGUUUCCUCAUCUCUCAAAUGAGUUAGAGAAAGAAAUGGUCAACCACUCCAGUAUCUUAGCUGUGACCCUGUUGGCCUCAGUUCCCUCAUUUGUCAAAUGAGUUGGAGAAGGAAAUGGCCAACCACUUCAGUAUCUUACCUGUGUGACCCUGUUGGCCUCAGUUUCCUCAUCUCUCAAAUGAGUUAGAGAAAGAAAUGGUCAACCACUCCAGUAUCUUAGCUGUGACCCUGUUGGCCUCAGUUUCCUCAUUUGUCAAAUGAGUUGGAGAAGGAAAUGGCCAACCACUUCAGUAUCUUACCUGUGUGACCCUGUUGGCCUCAGUUUCCUCAUCUCUCAAAUGAGUUAGAGAAGGAAAUGGUCAACCACUCCACUCUCUUAGCUGUGUGACCCUGUUGGCCUCAGUUUCCUCAUCUGUCAAAUGAGCUGGAGAAGGAAAUGACCAACCACUCCAGUAUAUUUGCCAAGAAAACCCCACAUGGGGUCAUGAAGAUUGGACAUGACUGAAAUGACUGACAACAACAAUAUUUUAUUUUUAAAAUUAAAUCAAUCGAUUUAUUUAUUUAGAAUAUUUUUCCAUGAUUACAAGAUUCAUGUUCUUUCCUCCCCUCUUCCCUCCCACCUCCUGAAGCUGACGAGCAAUUCCACUGGGCUAUACAAUAAUAACAAAGUUGGGACAUAUAGGCGGAUCAUUUGUAGGGUGAGAGAAAAGGCUCUUUGGCACUGCUCUACCCACUAGGAGAGAGCUUGAUCAGGAUGGUCAGCAUUUCAUCUUGUUCUUGCAUGAUUUGGGAGGUCUCAGUUAACAAAGAUGUAUUAAGCGUGUGCCAGAUACAGAAUUGGGAAUGCAAAUAUGAAGAAUGAUGUAAUCCUUACCCUCCAGGAGCUUAUAAUCUAAUGCAUUUCUCUACAGGAACAGCUUAGCAAAUUCUUCUCUUUCAGCUAUUUACUAUAUUGGAGUAAGAUGACUUUUUUUUUUUUGUGGGGGAAGAUACUCUAAGGCAGCUUGAACAAAGAGGGAAAUGAGAUCAAACUGCAUAGUUGAGGUAUUGGAAACUAAGGCAGUUUGAUGGCACAGUGGAUAUACUGCCAGGUUUGGAGUCAGGAAGACUUGAGUUCAAAUCCAGUCUUGGAUACUAUCUGUGUGAUUCUGGGAAAGUCACUUCACCCUGCUUGCCUCAGUUUCCUCAUCUGAAAAAUAAACUGGAGAAGGAAAUGGCAAACCACUCUAGUAUCUUUGCCAACUAAACCCCAAAAGGGAUUGGGAAAAGUCAGACAUUACUAAAAUGAUUGAACAAGAGCAACAAAAUUUGCAUAUGUAGCUUAGUCAUUUGCAGAGCAAAAAAAAAAGACUCUUUGGUAUUAUUCCACUCACUAGGAGAGAACUUGUUAGAGAUGCUCAACAUGGUUUUAAGAGGUCCUGAUCAACAAGGACUUAUUAAGCAUGUGUCAGACACUGUGCUAGUGUUUAGUAAAACAGAGAAUUAAAUGAGAAAACAUUCUAGCUUUGACAUUCUUUCUUCUAAGUUCUCUCCCAUCUUUGACAUUCUCUGUUCUAAGGUCCCUUUAGUUCUGCAAGAUUCCCCCCACUUCUAGCAUUCUAUAUUAUUCCAAGAUACCUCCCAGAAGUUUUUCUUUUGGUUCCAUCUCUGGCCACCAAUUUGCUAUUGACUUUGUGAAAAUCACUUCGGGCUAUGCUAGGAUAUUUUCAUUUUCUUCCUCUGAAAACAGGGGUAUUCUGGAGCUGACUCCUAUUGGCUGAGGAGAGGGCCAGUUGUUCAAUUUCUAUUAUGUGCAUUUGCACCUGCAAAAUUGGCGAUUCCCCAAAUCAGGGCUUGAAUUAUUGUUUUGUUGAUUGUCCAGACUUAAGCAAGUAAUGGGAAAAUGUUAAUAGUGCAGGGCAGAUUGAAAAGCGUGUUGUGGAUAUCUUUUGUUUGUCUGUUUCCCCAGAGAGCUAAUUGUCCAACAUUUACCAGCACACUUGCCUGCCUGGGAGUCUGCAGGAAGCUGUCCAAGGAGCUACCAUUCCCCAGGAGCUGAGCCAGCAAUCCUCAUUAGAAGCUGCAUUUCCAAUCCUUCUUUCCUAUUGGCUACAUGGCACCUAGCUGAAGAAAGGUCCUUCCUAAGGAGAUUUUAGUAGAAUGUAUGGCCAUUGGGCUGAUGAAUUGUAAUUGACCUGAGGACUUGAUUAAUUUCCCUCUUUGCCAAUGACUUAAUCCCUAAAGGAAGCUGUUUCUGGAUAACAAAUUGUUAUUUCCCUCCUUACUGGUCAACUAGCAUAUUGUUGGUCUACGGAUAUGGAUUAUCUUUAGAAGGAGAUACUCAGAUGGGAUUUCCUCCAUAAUGAGAUACUUUAGCCUGCUCUAAUCUUUGUGCAAUGGGCAGAGGAGAGAGAGAGAGAGAGAGGGAGACAGAGAGACAGAGAGACAGAGACAGAGAGAGACAGAGAGACAGAGAGAGACAGAGAGAGACAGAGAGAGACAGAGAGACAGAGAAAGAGAAAGAGACAGACAGACAGAUAAACAGAGAGACAGAGAGGGAGACAGGGAGAGGAAGAGGGAGAGAGGGAGAGAGAGGGAGGGAGUGAGAGACAGACAGAGACAGAGACAGAGACAGAGACAGAGACAUAGAGAGACAGGGAGAGGGAGAGAGACAGACAGACAGAAAGAAAGAGAGACAGACAGAGAAAGAGACAGAGAGAGACAGAAGGGGAGGGAGAGACACACACACAGAUGGGAAUGGAGACAGAGAUAGACAUGGAAAUAUGAUAUGGAGAGAAAAAAAGAGAUAGAGGAAGAAACAGAAAGACAGAAACAAUAAGAUCUGAAGAGAGAGAAGAAGACAGAGUAACAGAGAGACAGAAAGAGACACAAGAGAAGAAGAAAGAAAGAAGGCAGGCACAGACCACUUAAAACCUUUUUCAAUCUUGAAUUCCAAGAUUUUCAGGCUCCAGAUGCUCUUUUUAAUAUUCAUUAAGCUCAAACUACUGCUAAAAGAGAGCCCAAUUGUCCAUCUCGACUCUUCCUUCUGUUCUCUCGUCCUGUGGACUCUCUGGAGGAAGAGCUGGUGAACAGAGAAGAUUUUCUCUGGGUCCAAGGAAGAUGGGUCUGCUGAAGCAGCAAGGCCCCCUGGGGGAGAGACAGGAAGCAGGUAACGUUGGGGGGUGCAGGCCAUCCACCAUUGCCUUGACCUUGAAGAAACAACCCAGAGCCCUGAACUCAGAAGUCUUGGGAAGAGCAGUGCUUCCAGCCUCAUCCCCACAGCCAUGGUGCUUGGAAGUAACAGCUGGUCAGAUGCACCCUGGCACCUGUUCCUGCAGGUGUUACAGUCACAGAGACUAAAGACUCUGAAAAGAUAGUUCUUGUUACCAAAGUCUUUGACAAAUGGUUCAAAUCAGAAAUGUAUGUGAUUUUAUCAAUGGAAAUGACAUUAAUGAAGAGGCAUUACAGUUUUCUUUGCACCAGCCCCCUAAGGAUCAUGGGACUUUUCCAUCUGAUUUGCAUAUAAAACCUUCCAUAGGUGUUGUCUUCCCCUUUAGAAGGGGAAUUCCCUGAGGGCUUGACUGUCUUACUUUUCUAUUUGUCUCUCUGGCACUUCACAUAGUGCAUUGCACAUAGUAAAUCUCUAAUGAAUAUUUAUUUAUUUGUUUGUAUUUUUCCCAUGCAAUAUGAGUAUGUAUAUACCCCUGAGAGACAACAUAAGCAUAGUGGAUAGAGUGCUGCAUUUGUAAUCAAGAAGCUCUGAAUAGAUCACUGGGUUUGGGUUAGGAAGACCUGAGUUCAAAUCCUGCAUGAAACACUUCCUUUGCUAUAUGACCCUAGGCAAGUUGCUAAAUCUCUCUCAGCCUCAACAUCCUCACCUGUAAAAUGGAGACAAUAAUAGAAUGCCACAGGACUGUUAGGGGGAUCAAGAGAGAUAUAAAGCAAAUUGCAACCCUUAAAAUUCUGUAUAAAUGCAGUUAUUAUUAUUAUUGUUGCUAUUAUGUCUUGUUUCUGUUACUUUAUUAGCUGUGUCAUUGUAGGCAAAUCACUGAACCCCUUUGAGUCAGAGGCAACUCCUUAAGAAAUCUUCUACUGUUUGAAAUAUGCAUUUUCUCAACUAAAUUAUGCAUUGUCCAAUUGCAAGAAGAUACCCUUUUUACCCUUUGUAAUUCUCUCCAGUGCUCUGAACAAGAACAGAUCUCAGCAAACACCUAUAAACUGACUCUUGUAAAAAUCAAAAUUAAUAUAUAAUACUUUCAAA